Molecule: long non-coding RNA, 410 nt
Organism: Oncorhynchus masou masou (cherry salmon)
Lineage: Eukaryota; Metazoa; Chordata; Actinopteri; Salmoniformes; Salmonidae
Exons: 4
Source: RefSeq, a predicted model, not a curated record
AAUAAUGAAGACAUGCCUGUUCUAUCGCUAAUGGAAUUUCCCUAAAGUACCUGUUUCGAGGAGUCAAGGUCUGGAAGUCUGCUUUCAUGAUGAAAUUUGCUGUACUUGCCAUGCUUUUGUUUACUGUGCCUGAAACUCACUCUGGCCGUCACUAUCAUGGAAGCUACUCUGACAGUGAUGAGAGGUUCUAUCUUGCCCCGAUCCCAACAUUUCACUGGUAUCAACAGAGGCCAGCGCCACCCCGACUUCAGUUCCCUCUCUGGCCCUUCUUCCCUGGGUUACUGCCCCAGCCGGCCCCUGCUCUUAUCCCAGCACCAAGGCCUGGACCAAGUCCGGGCCAGACCACCACUGCCCCUGCCACAACUAGUAAAAGGGGAGAUAACGGAUAAACAGGACCCAUCUCAGAACCG